RNAcentral lists this ribosomal RNA (1384 nucleotides) under Microbacterium profundi. RNAcentral describes it as "bacterial SSU rRNA". It matches the Rfam family "Bacterial small subunit ribosomal RNA". The record is from RNAcentral. Lineage: Bacteria; Bacillati; Actinomycetota; Actinomycetes; Micrococcales; Microbacteriaceae.
GUCGAACGGUGAAGCCCCGCUUGCGGGGUGGAUCAGUGGCGAACGGGUGAGUAACACGUGAGCAACCUGCCCCUGACUCUGGGAUAAGCGCUGGAAACGGCGUCUAAUACUGGAUACGAGACGUGAUCGCAUGGUCAACGUUUGGAAAGAUUUUUCGGUUGGGGAUGGGCUCGCGGCCUAUCAGCUUGUUGGUGAGGUAAUGGCUCACCAAGGCGUCGACGGGUAGCCGGCCUGAGAGGGUGACCGGCCACACUGGGACUGAGACACGGCCCAGACUCCUACGGGAGGCAGCAGUGGGGAAUAUUGCACAAUGGGCGCAAGCCUGAUGCAGCAACGCCGCGUGAGGGAUGACGGCCUUCGGGUUGUAAACCUCUUUUAGCAGGGAAGAAGCGAGAGUGACGGUACCUGCAGAAAAAGCACCGGCUAACUACGUGCCAGCAGCCGCGGUAAUACGUAGGGUGCAAGCGUUAUCCGGAAUUAUUGGGCGUAAAGAGCUCGUAGGCGGUUUGUCGCGUCUGCUGUGAAAUCUGGGGGCUCAACCCCCAGCCUGCAGUGGGUACGGGCAGACUAGAGUGCGGUAGGGGAGAUUGGAAUUCCUGGUGUAGCGGUGGAAUGCGCAGAUAUCAGGAGGAACACCGAUGGCGAAGGCAGAUCUCUGGGCCGUAACUGACGCUGAGGAGCGAAAGGGUGGGGAGCAAACAGGCUUAGAUACCCUGGUAGUCCACCCCGUAAACGUUGGGAACUAGUUGUGGGGUCCAUUCCACGGAUUCCGUGACGCAGCUAACGCAUUAAGUUCCCCGCCUGGGGAGUACGGCCGCAAGGCUAAAACUCAAAGGAAUUGACGGGGACCCGCACAAGCGGCGGAGCAUGCGGAUUAAUUCGAUGCAACGCGAAGAACCUUACCAAGGCUUGACAUAUACGAGAACGGGCCAGAAAUGGUCAACUCUUUGGACACUCGUAAACAGGUGGUGCAUGGUUGUCGUCAGCUCGUGUCGUGAGAUGUUGGGUUAAGUCCCGCAACGAGCGCAACCCUCGUUCUAUGUUGCCAGCACGUAAUGGUGGGAACUCAUGGGAUACUGCCGGGGUCAACUCGGAGGAAGGUGGGGAUGACGUCAAAUCAUCAUGCCCCUUAUGUCUUGGGCUUCACGCAUGCUACAAUGGCCGGUACAAUGGGCUGCAAUACCGUGAGGUGGAGCGAAUCCCAAAAAGCCGGUCCCAGUUCGGAUUGAGGUCUGCAACUCGACCUCAUGAAGUCGGAGUCGCUAGUAAUCGCAGAUCAGCAACGCUGCGGUGAAUACGUUCCCGGGUCUUGUACACACCGCCCGUCAAGUCAUGAAAGUCGGUAACACCUGAAGCCGGUGGCCUAACCCCUCGGGGAGGGAGC